RNAcentral lists this ribosomal RNA (565 nucleotides) under Kribbella sp. 340A11. Its description in RNAcentral is "bacterial SSU rRNA". It matches the Rfam family "Bacterial small subunit ribosomal RNA", at positions 93 to 671 of the family's 1533-position model. Lineage: Bacteria; Bacillati; Actinomycetota; Actinomycetes; Propionibacteriales; Kribbellaceae. The record is from RNAcentral.
GAGCGGCGAACGGGUGAGUAACACGUGAGCAACCUACCCUCAACUUUGGGAUAAGCCUCGGAAACGGGGUCUAAUACCGGAUAACACCAUNNNUCUCAUGGGGGGUGGUUGAAAGUUCUGGCGGUUGGGGAUGGGCUCGCGGCCUAUCAGCUUGUUGGUGGGGUAAUGGCCUACCAAGGCGUCGACGGGUAGCCGGCCUGAGAGGGCGACCGGCCACACUGGGACUGAGACACGGCCCAGACUCCUACGGGAGGCAGCAGUGGGGAAUAUUGCGCAAUGGACGAAAGUCUGACGCAGCAACGCCGCGUGAGGGAUGACGGCCUUCGGGUUGUAAACCUCUUUCAGCAGGGACGAAGCGAGAGUGACGGUACCUGCAGAAGAAGGACCGGCCAACUACGUGCCAGCAGCCGCGGUAAUACGUAGGGUCCGAGCGUUGUCCGGAAUUAUUGGGCGUAAAGGGCUCGUAGGCGGUUCGUCACGUCGGGAGUGAAAACUCGGGGCUUAACCCCGAGCCUGCUUCCGAUACGGGGCAGACUAGAGGUAGGCAGGGGAGAGCGGAACUNCU